Non-coding RNA from Balaenoptera ricei (Rice's whale), 672 nucleotides. The record is from the annotation of a RefSeq genome assembly. Lineage: Eukaryota; Metazoa; Chordata; Mammalia; Artiodactyla; Balaenopteridae.
AUGGCCUGGACCCUUCUCCUCCUCGGCCUCCUCGCUCACUGCACAGGUUCCCUCUCCCAGCCUGUGCUGACUCAGCCGCCCUCGCUCUCUACAUCUCUGGGAGCAUCAGCCAGACUCACCUGCACCCUGAGCAGUGGGUACAGUGUUGCCAGCUAUACUAUAUACUGGUACCGGCAGAAGCCAGGGAACCCUCCCCGGUACCUCCUGAGGUUCAGGUCAGACUCUGAUAAGCACCAGGGCUCCGGGAUCCCCAGCCGCUUCUCUGGAUCCAAAGAUGCCUCGGCCAAUGCAGGGCUCCUGCUCAUCUCUGGGCUGCAGCCCGAGGACGAGGACGACUAUUCCUGUGGUGUAGGUCAUAGCAGUGGGAGCAGCUAUCAUUCCCACAGUGUCUCAGAUGAGGAGGAAGAAAGUCAUUAUUCCUGGUCCCAAGACCUCGUCUCUCCAUUCAUUGGCCUGUCGUGGGGUGAGCAGUAUGAGUUGGACUGGGCACCAGUGCAAACAGAAUCACCGGGUGCCCAGCUACGAACUAUCCCUUGCGUGGUUGGUGGGAUGACAGGGAAGUGGACAUCCAGCACCUGUGACUGGGAGGCCCGCUGGUCCUCCAACUGCUCCCUGCAGGCCUCCUGCCCCUGGUCCAGAGUCUCUGCUCUGUCCCUGAUCCUGAAGGCUUAA